AGGGAAACCGAGUCUUAACUGGGCGUUAAGUUGCAGGGUAUAGACCCGAAACCCGGUGAUCUAGCCAUGGGCAGGUUGAAGGUUGGGUAACACUAACUGGAGGACCGAACCGACUAAUGUUGAAAAAUUAGCGGAUGACUUGUGGCUGGGGGUGAAAGGCCAAUCAAACCGGGAGAUAGCUGGUUCUCCCCGAAAGCUAUUUAGGUAGCGCCUCGUGAACUCAUCUUCGGGGGUAGAGCACUGUUUCGGCUAGGGGGUCAUCCCGACUUACCAACCCGAUGCAAACUGCGAAUACCGAAGAAUGUUAUCACGGGAGACACACGGCGGGUGCUAACGUCCGUCGUGAAGAGGGAAACAACCCAGACCGCCAGCUAAGGUCCCAAAGUCACAGUUAAGUGGGAAACGAUGUGGGAAGGCUCAGACAGCCAGGAUGUUGGCUUAGAAGCAGCCAUCAUUUAAAGAAAGCGUAAUAGCUCACUGGUCGAGUCGGCCUGCGCGGAAGAUGUAACGGGGCUAAACUGUGCACCGAAGCUGCGGCAGCGACGCUUAUGCGUUGUUGGGUAGGGGAGCGUUCUGUAAGCCUGCGAAGGUGUCCUGUGAGGGAUGCUGGAGGUAUCAGAAGUGCGAAUGCUGACAUAAGUAACGAUAAUGCGGGUGAAAAGCCCGCUCGCCGGAAGACCAAGGGUUCCUGUCCAACGUUAAUCGGGGCAGGGUGAGUCGACCCCUAAGGCGAGGCCGAAAGGCGUAGUCGAUGGGAAACGGGUUAAUAUUCCCGUACUUGGUGUUACUGCGAAGGGGGGACGGAGAAGGCUAUGUUGGCCGGGCGACGGUUGUCCCGGUUUAAGCGUGUAGGCUGGUUUUCCA
This 864-nucleotide ribosomal RNA is filed under the name Salmonella enterica. RNAcentral's name for it is "partial 23S ribosomal RNA". It matches the Rfam family "Bacterial large subunit ribosomal RNA", at positions 670 to 1535 of the family's 2925-position model. Lineage: Bacteria; Pseudomonadati; Pseudomonadota; Gammaproteobacteria; Enterobacterales; Enterobacteriaceae. RNAcentral also lists the same sequence under 1 other name. The record is from RNAcentral.